CAACCCUCAGGCCUCCGGUUUUAGUGCCGGAGCUCCUGGUGUUGGGGACCCGGGCCUGCCCCACGCGGCCGGCGCCCGGACCCCGAAAGAUAGUGGCGGCUCCGCCGUAGCGUCCUCUGCGUAGUAGCAACACCUCGCACCGGAGCGCGGCGCGGUCAUGCCGUAAAGCGGUAGCAGGCUUUUGCCUGCACCAUCUUCCAAA
RNAcentral lists this unclassified non-coding RNA (202 nucleotides) under uncultured Sordariomycetes. RNAcentral describes it as "sequence contains ITS2". The record is from RNAcentral. Lineage: Eukaryota; Fungi; Ascomycota; Sordariomycetes.